GCCCAUGUAAUCCAAUCGGUAGAGAUAGAGGACUUAAAAUCCUUCCAGUGCCAGUUCGAGUCUGGCCAUGGGCACCA
RNAcentral lists this transfer RNA (77 nucleotides) under Alphaproteobacteria bacterium. RNAcentral's name for it is "tRNA-Leu". It matches the Rfam family "tRNA". From Rfam's summary of the family: Transfer RNA (tRNA) molecules are approximately 80 nucleotides in length. Their secondary structure includes four short double-helical elements and three loops (D, anti-codon, and T loops). The record is from RNAcentral. Lineage: Bacteria; Pseudomonadati; Pseudomonadota; Alphaproteobacteria.